RNA transcript from Portunus trituberculatus (swimming crab), 5597 nucleotides. It is a transcript of the gene named methionine--tRNA ligase, cytoplasmic-like, with no coding region annotated. The transcript has 11 exons. The record is from RefSeq and is a predicted model, not a curated record. Lineage: Eukaryota; Metazoa; Arthropoda; Malacostraca; Decapoda; Portunidae.
GGGCGUCUACCUAUCAUGGAGAAGACUACAGGAUACCAGUGUAACUCAGCUUAUUUUCCAAAAACUGGUUGCGAGAGGUGUGCUGUUAGAAAAGCCACACAGCUCGACAGUCACAGUACAGUGAUCAAGAUUAGUGACAGUGCGGCAGAGGGUUGGCGGUGUGUGUGUGACUGUGUGCGAGCGUGUCUGUCCAGCUGCAGAAAGUGUGAGGACAAGAUGCGACUCUUCACCACCAAAGAACACCCUAAUGGCCUUAAGGUCAUGGUGGCGAGUAAGCUGUCCGGGCGGCAGGUGGAGGUGACGCAUGUACCUGAUAUAUUGGAGGGAGCAGCACUGGAGGUGAGUGAGGCUGGGGUGACAUUCCAUCUUCAGGCCAACAGUGCCGUAUUGUACUUCCUCCAUAAGACUGACCAGGGGGGCAGCAGUGAUGGCAACAAUGAUGCUGAGGCGUGGCUGGAAUGGGAGUCAAGUCAGCUUCAGCCAGUUUUGGUGCCGUAUCUGCUGUCUGUGGCAGGAGGGCGGGAGGAUAAGGAACUGAGGGCAGCCCUGCAAUCCCUGCUGACCACACUCACCACCUCACACUCUCUCAACACCAAGGAAGUGAAUGCAGCAACAGUGGUGUUGUUUUGCUCACUGGUGCCCCUGCAGAGUGAAGUGGUCAGUGCCAGCCUCUUGAAGGAACAGCCAAAUCUAUUGGCAUACCUCACCAGCCUCAGGGAGGUGCCCUCCAUUAAAGAAUGUGUAGCCUCAUGGUGGAAUGGUGGCAGCAGUACUCUGAAGAAUUGGGUAGGUUGUGUUGCACCACCAUCUUCUCCUUCCCACUCUACCUUGGCACUCCUCAAGGGCUCACCACCUGCCACCCCUGGCCGGGCAGCUCCUGCCACCCCUGCUGACCAGAGCAAACCAGUGCGAGCAACAGUUUCACCAGAAGCAGUGAAGGAAGCUGAACAGUGGUGGCAACAGCCGUCCAAGGCCUGUCCUGCCCCAAGGAACUGGAGUUCUCCUAUCUUGCCUGUCAAGGGAGAGAGCAACAUCCUGGUGACUUCUGCAUUGCCGUAUGUCAACAAUGUGCCUCACCUUGGGAAUAUCAUUGGCUGUGUGUUGUCCUCAGACUGCUUUGCCAGGUUCUGCCGGCUGCGUGGUGACAACAUCCUCUUUGUGAGUGGGACGGAUGAGUAUGGCACAGCAACAGAGACCAAGGCCAUUGCUGAGGGGCUCACCCCUCAGCAAAUUUGUGAUAAAUACAAUGCCAUCCAUUCUGAUGUUUACCAGUGGUUCAACAUAUCCUUUGAUUACUUUGGGCGAACCACAACAGAGCAGCAGACACAGAUUGCCCAGGACAUUUUCAACAAGCUGGACAGGAACAAGUACAUCUGCCAGGAGUCGGUGGAGCAGCUAUACUGUGCUAAAUGUCAACGGUUUUUGGCUGAUAGAUUUGUGGAAGGGACGUGCCCCCAUCCAGGCUGUGGGUAUGAAGAUGCACGAGGAGACCAAUGUGAUGGUUGCAGUAAGUUGGUCAAUGCCAUGGAGCUGGUGCGGCCAAGGUGCAAACUUUGCUCUAGCACUCCUGAGGUAAGAUCCUCUAAUCAUCUCUUCCUUGAUCUUCCCUCCAUUGAACCAAAAUUGAAGACUUGGCUACCUAACUCUGCCCCACAGUGGACUUCCAAUGCCCAAGUCAUCUGUGAUUCCUGGGUCAAGGAUGGCCUCAAGCAGCGUUGCAUCACACGAGACCUUAAAUGGGGCACUCCAGUCCCUAAGGAUAACUUCAGAGAGAAAGUCUUCUAUGUGUGGUUUGAUGCCCCCAUUGGAUACAUCAGUAUGACUGCCUGCUACACAGACCAGUGGCAGCAGUGGUGGCUCAACCCUGACCAGGUGAAGUACUACCAAUUCAUGGCCAAGGACAAUGUUCCUUUCCACAGUGUGGUAUUCCCAUCCACUCUGCUGGGGACAGGGCAAAACUGGACCAAGGUGACCCAUCUUGUGGCCACAGAGUACCUCAACUAUGAGGAUACCAAGUUCUCCAAAAGUCGUGGUAUUGGUGUGUUUGGUGACCAGGCAGCCUCCACCGGCAUUCCUAGUGAUGUAUGGCGAUUCUAUCUCCUGUAUCUUCGUCCUGAGGCCCAGGACACGUCAUUCUCCUGGGUUGACCUGCAGACCAAAAACAACAGUGAACUGCUCAACAACCUUGGCAAUUUUGUCCAUCGAGCAUUGACCUUUGUUUUCAAGUUCUUUGGAGGAGCUAUUCCUGCUGUUAAUCCUUCCAAUCAGGACUUUGAGGUGAUGGCAGCUAUUAACAAAGAACUGAGGCAGUACACCUCAUCACUUGCCUGCAACCACCAGCGUGAUGGGUUGCGGGCAGUGCUGUCCAUUGCCAGAAUUGGAAAUCAGUACAUUCAGGACCAGGAGCCAUUCAAAUUAGUGAAACCUAACCGGCCACCAGAGGACAGGGAGCGUGGGGCUACGGUGACGGCCAUAGCAGCAAACAUUGUGGCACUGGUGGCCAUUGUCGUGGAGCCGUUUAUGCCAGAGACAUCAGGUCGUAUUAAGGACCUCCUUGGUAACCCACCACAGCUCAAGUACCUCCCUCAGGCCUUUACUCAGUUCCUAGCAAGUGGUCAUGUCAUCAAAGAACCUCAGCCUCUCAUUACACAGCUGGACACUGAACUCAUAGAGAGGUUAAGUAAACAGUUUGGGGGUGAGACCAAAGCUCCAGCUGCAGCAAAGAAAGAGGUCAACCCUGCAGAGGUAGCUCAGCUCCAGGCACAGAUUGAGGCUCAGGGUAACAAGGUACGUCAGAUGAAAGCAGGAGGAACAGCAAGCAAAGCAGAGGUGGCAGCAGAGGUGGCCAUACUAAUCAGCCUCAAGGGACAGCUGGCCACUGCACAAGGGGUUGAGGCAACUCCAACAGGUGAUAAAGACAAGAAGAAAAGCAAAAAAGGAGGUGGAGGAGGAAAGGAGAGUACAAAACAAUCUCCUGCUACUGCCAGUGCAUCUGCUCAGUCACCUUCAAAUACUCCAGUUAAUGAAGCAGAAGUGAACAGGUUACAGGCUCUUGUCACACAGCAGGGUGAUAAGGUUCGUGGUCUGAAGACCAGCGGUGCAUCCAAGGAAGCCGUGGCCCCAGAGGUUGCUGUCUUGCUGGACCUGAAGCAGCAGUUGGCUGCUGCUCAAGGGAUUGACCCAGCCACCCUCUCUGGGAAAGACAAGAAGAAGAAAAACAGGCGUGAUGGCAAUGUAGGCUGUUCCUGUGCUCUGUGAUGUAAGGUAAACCAAAGAACAAAAGAGUAUUUUUCCUGACACUAACUUUCUUGCACCAGUUAAUGAUUAUCCAAGAACCAGAUUGAAGAGUGGAGAGGCAUUUUCUUGGGUCUGCUAACAGUGCUCCUCUUUCUUAGGAUCUUAUUCAUGGAUCUUUUACUUCUAUUUACUCCCAGUGGUGAUGCAGAAUUCUUGUUUAACUAUCAAUAGUAUCAUGAAAAUACUGAUGAAAACUCCAGUAAUUCACACUUAAGCUUUUAAAAGUAAAUAAGAUACCAGUAAGUUUAAGACUACAAGUCUUGGAGUGAGGGGACUGUGCUGCAUCUUGAACAUCAUACUCUAUGGGUAUGCUACAUUCAGUACAUUGUCAUUUAUAUUCUACAUUUUUAAUUGAGAAAAAAGAAAUGGCAGACUAAAAAUGUUUAUCUUUAUCUGGAUUGGUAAAAAGAAUUGCUAUGUAUAAGUACCAAGUAAGAUAAGUAAGAUUGAUGCACCAAUUAACACAAACAAGAAAAGUUGACAAAAUGAGAGAUGGUUGUGGAUAAAGGGUCAGAAUGUAAGAGUGUAAGCUGAAUGAAUGCUAACAAAAUCUACUAAGUUCCAGAUCAUUACAGGUUGUAGACAGUUCACUUUCAUUAACUUCCAAUCUGUUAUGCAUUUCCCAGCAGUCUAAGUUCUCUCAUUUUGUGGCAGUCUUGUAAUCACACAACUGGACAAGACUAUCAGUAGAUCAGAUCAUCAGAGUUCUUGACUUUGAGGAAAAAUGCAAAACAAGCGUGGAAGUGAAUGUGGCAAGUUGAUCUACCUAUUGGUGACUGUAACUUUACUCUUGGUUGAAUGGGAACACCAGAGUGAGUUUUUUUCUUUUUUACUCUUUUUUUUUCUUGUAAGAGAUAGAAUGGAUGAGAGUGGGCAGUACCAUGGCAUAUAGUGAUGUAUAGUUGUAUGGAAACUCUAGUAUGUGGUAAAGUUAGUUAUGAUAUUCAGGAAUGGUAAGAUGUACUUGGAAGUCGUGUGAUAUUGUUUUGUAGUUUUAUGACAUGUACUAUAUAUUCUUUGGGAAAGGAUUGCACAUAACUUAAUUCUAUGGGCACUCCUCACUUGUGGGCAGAAGUUGUUUGAGCCAUCAAUAGCCACCUUGUGAUUCACAGUGGGAAGUGUAGAUUAUGCAACAAUUAAUGAUGAGAGACUGCUGUUUUCAGGACAAAGUAUACUCAUUUGUGACUUGCCAUGCCUUCUAUUUCAGGCGUUAAAUUUAGAUUAGCAAACGGAUAAGAGAAGAGUAUCAAACUGAGGUGCUACUACUUAUAAGGCCUUAUUAGCUCUUCCCCUCCCCCAAUCUCUCUCUCUCUCUCAUUCAUUCAUUCAUUCAUUCAUUCAUUCAUUCAUUCAUUCAUUCAUUCAUUCAUUCAUUCUCUCUCUCUCUCUCUCUCUCUCUCUCUCUCUCUCUCUCUCUCUCUCUCUCUCUCUCUCUCUCUCUCUCUCUCUCUCUCUCUCUCUCUCUCUCUCUCUCUCUCUCCAAUGUAAUCAGAUCCCGCUUGUGUGAAAGUAAUGAACACCAUCAAUAAGAAGUGUGUAGCUAGAAAGUUAGUGUGUGCAUUACAUUCCCUUUCAUAGAGGUAAGUGUCAUGACCAUGUUCAUUAUAGGAGACUAGAACUUUGCUUGGGUAUGUAUGUAUAUUGAGCAAGAUGAAGCUGAUCGAGAUGUACUGAGGCCUUGAUGCUCGUCUUGGACCAACUGGUAAGGUGUUGGAUGUAUUGUGAGGGUUCUGACAGCUUUGAUUCCCGAUGAAAUAAUUUUUUUGCCAAUAUAUUUCACCCUGCACUCAAUUUCUUUUUUCCACAAUGCUUCAAAUUCAUCUUCCUUUCGAGACAGCACAGAUGGAAGUUCACUGUACCUACACCUCCACCUCCCAACUUACAUUACAGCACGGAGGUUAUGUCGUGAAUCCCGCUGUCACUGAGUGACAGACAUAAUGCAGCUUUGGAUGUCAGACAACGCUGGGUCAAGCAGCUCUCCCCUUUAGUGGAUCUGGAAGAUGACGUGAUUGAAGAGGCCCAACACUGCCACUAAAUCAUAGUAUGUUUGCUGCUCCACAAGGAAAUUUAAAUCCCCAUGAUGAAGACAUUCUUGAGGACAUUCUUGCAGCCAUGAGUUCAGAGCAAAUUCUCUAGUUCCACCACCAGCAAGUAGUGUGAUGAAUAUGUGAAAUGUGUGUGUGAACUAAAACAAAAUGUAAAAUUGUAAUUAGCAUCUCUGAAUAGUGUAAUAAACCAGCUACAAGACCAAGCAAGAUGCAAGUGGCAUGAAACCUCAAUAAAUGUUUUGUAAAAAGAAA